Long non-coding RNA from Arabidopsis thaliana (thale cress), 329 nucleotides. RefSeq annotates it as other RNA. The transcript is spliced from 2 exons. The record is from RefSeq. Lineage: Eukaryota; Viridiplantae; Streptophyta; Magnoliopsida; Brassicales; Brassicaceae.
AUGUGAUCGACUCCUCUCGUUUCAAUUUUGCGGUAAGGUUCUUCUUCUUCGUCAGAGUUUUUUUUUCUCUUAUCUCUCAAAAAGGCGUUAACUUUCUAUAGAUUCAUGAACAGAGAGCCUCUCUGUAUCGUCUCUCGUCACUCUCAUGAAAUAUAGCCUUAGCACAACCCACAGAAGCAGCCCAACUCUCUCUCUCUCUGUGCUGUUUUCUUGCUUGUGAGUAACUUUUUUUGCUUUCCUCUGUUACAUUUUUAUGCAUUUUCUCCUUCAUUCUCUUGUGAAUUUUUGGUUUCUUGGACCUGAUGAGUGAACUCGCAUUAAAGUUUGAA